GGGUUGUGAGGUUAAGCGACUAAGCGUACACGGUGGAUGCCCUGGCAGUCAGAGGCGAUGAAGGACGUGCUAAUCUGCGAUAAGCGUCGGUAAGGUGAUAUGAACCGUUAUAACCGGCGAUUUCCGAAUGGGGAAACCCAGUGUGUUUCGACACACUAUCAUUAACUGAAUCCAUAGGUUAAUGAGGCGAACCGGGGGAACUGAAACAUCUAAGUACCCCGAGGAAAAGAAAUCAACCGAGAUUCCCCCAGUAGCGGCGAGCGAACGGGGAGGAGCCCAGAGCCUGAAUCAGUGUGUGUGUUAGUGGAAGCGUCUGGAAAGGCGCGCGAUACAGGGUGACAGCCCCGUACACAAAAAUGCACAUGCUGUGAGCUCGAUGAGUAGGGCGGGACACGUGGUAUCCUGUCUGAAUAUGGGGGGACCAUCCUCCAAGGCUAAAUACUCCUGACUGACCGAUAGUGAACCAGUACCGUGAGGGAAAGGCGAAAAGAACCCCGGCGAGGGGAGUGAAAAAGAACCUGAAACCGUGUACGUACAAGCAGUGGGAGCACGCUUAGGCGUGUGACUGCGUACCUUUUGUAUAAUGGGUCAGCGACUUAUAUUCUGUAGCAAGGUUAACCGAAUAGGGGAGCCGAAGGGAAACCGAGUCUUAACUGGGCGUUAAGUUGCAGGGUAUAGACCCGAAACCCGGUGAUCUAGCCAUGGGCAGGUUGAAGGUUGGGUAACACUAACUGGAGGACCGAACCGACUAAUGUUGAAAAAUUAGCGGAUGACUUGUGGCUGGGGGUGAAAGGCCAAUCAAACCGGGAGAUAGCUGGUUCUCCCCGAAAGCUAUUUAGGUAGCGCCUCGUGAAUUCAUCUCCGGGGGUAGAGCACUGUUUCGGCAAGGGGGUCAUCCCGACUUACCAACCCGAUGCAAACUGCGAAUACCGGAGAAUGUUAUCACGGGAGACACACGGCGGGUGCUAACGUCCGUCGUGAAGAGGGAAACAACCCAGACCGCCAGCUAAGGUCCCAAAGUCAUGGUUAAGUGGGAAACGAUGUGGGAAGGCCCAGACAGCCAGGAUGUUGGCUUAGAAGCAGCCAUCAUUUAAAGAAAGCGUAAUAGCUCACUGGUCGAGUCGGCCUGCGCGGAAGAUGUAACGGGGCUAAACCAUGCACCGAAGCUGCGGCAGCGACACUGUGUGUUGUUGGGUAGGGGAGCGUUCUGUAAGCCUGUGAAGGUGUGCUGUGAGGCAUGCUGGAGGUAUCAGAAGUGCGAAUGCUGACAUAAGUAACGAUAAAGCGGGUGAAAAGCCCGCUCGCCGGAAGACCAAGGGUUCCUGUCCAACGUUAAUCGGGGCAGGGUGAGUCGACCCCUAAGGCGAGGCCGAAAGGCGUAGUCGAUGGGAAACAGGUUAAUAUUCCUGUACUUGGUGUUACUGCGAAGGGGGGACGGAGAAGGCUAUGUUGGCCGGGCGACGGUUGUCCCGGUUUAAGCGUGUAGGCUGGUUUUCCAGGCAAAUCCGGAAAAUCAAGGCUGAGGCGUGAUGACGAGGCACUACGGUGCUGAAGCAACAAAUGCCCUGCUUCCAGGAAAAUCCUCUAAGCAUCAGGUAACAUCAAAUCGUACCCCAAACCGACACAGGUGGUCAGGUAGAGAAUACCAAGGCGCUUGAGAGAACUCGGGUGAAGGAACUAGGCAAAAUGGUGCCGUAACUUCGGGAGAAGGCACGCUGAUAUGUAGGUGAAGCGACUUGCUCGUGGAGCUGAAAUCAGUCGAAGAUACCAGCUGGCUGCAACUGUUUAUUAAAAACACAGCACUGUGCAAACACGAAAGUGGACGUAUACGGUGUGACGCCUGCCCGGUGCCGGAAGGUUAAUUGAUGGGGUCAGCGCAAGCGAAGCUCUUGAUCGAAGCCCCGGUAAACGGCGGCCGUAACUAUAACGGUCCUAAGGUAGCGAAAUUCCUUGUCGGGUAAGUUCCGACCUGCACGAAUGGCGUAAUGAUGGCCAGGCUGUCUCCACCCGAGACUCAGUGAAAUUGAACUCGCUGUGAAGAUGCAGUGUACCCGCGGCAAGACGGAAAGACCCCGUGAACCUUUACUAUAGCUUGACACUGAACAUUGAGCCUUGAUGUGUAGGAUAGGUGGGAGGCUUAGAAGUGUGGACGCCAGUCUGCAUGGAGCCGACCUUGAAAUACCACCCUUUAAUGUUUGAUGUUCUAACGUUGACCCGUAAUCCGGGUUGCGGACAGUGUCUGGUGGGUAGUUUGACUGGGGCGGUCUCCUCCUAAAGAGUAACGGAGGAGCACGAAGGUUGGCUAAUCCUGGUCGGACAUCAGGAGGUUAGUGCAAUGGCAUAAGCCAGCUUGACUGCGAGCGUGACGGCGCGAGCAGGUGCGAAAGCAGGUCAUAGUGAUCCGGUGGUUCUGAAUGGAAGGGCCAUCGCUCAACGGAUAAAAGGUACUCCGGGGAUAACAGGCUGAUACCGCCCAAGAGUUCAUAUCGACGGCGGUGUUUGGCACCUCGAUGUCGGCUCAUCACAUCCUGGGGCUGAAGUAGGUCCCAAGGGUAUGGCUGUUCGCCAUUUAAAGUGGUACGCGAGCUGGGUUUAGAACGUCGUGAGACAGUUCGGUCCCUAUCUGCCGUGGGCGCUGGAGAACUGAGGGGGGCUGCUCCUAGUACGAGAGGACCGGAGUGGACGCAUCACUGGUGUUCGGGUUGUCAUGCCAAUGGCACUGCCCGGUAGCUAAAUGCGGAAGAGAUAAGUGCUGAAAGCAUCUAAGCACGAAACUUGCCCCGAGAUGAGUUCUCCCUGACCCUUUAAGGGUCCUGAAGGAACGUUGAAGACGACGACGUUGAUAGGCCGGGUGUGUAAGCGCAGCGAUGCGUUGAGCUAACCGGUACUAAUGAACCGUGAGGCUUAACCUUACAACGCCGAAG
This 2924-nucleotide ribosomal RNA is filed under the name Escherichia coli. RNAcentral describes it as "23S ribosomal RNA". It matches the Rfam family "Bacterial large subunit ribosomal RNA". Lineage: Bacteria; Pseudomonadati; Pseudomonadota; Gammaproteobacteria; Enterobacterales; Enterobacteriaceae. The record is from RNAcentral.